Non-coding RNA from Spinacia oleracea (spinach), 93 nucleotides. The record is from Rfam. Lineage: Eukaryota; Viridiplantae; Streptophyta; Magnoliopsida; Caryophyllales; Amaranthaceae.
GUUGGAUAGAUGAUGUGCUAAUUAAACUGCGUUAUCUUCCUGCAAUUUCCUUACAAAAGGAAUUGAAGAAAACUUGUUUUACUGAUAUCCAAU